ACCCCCUUAGCUCAGCGAAUAGAGCGUCGGCCUCCGGAGCCGAAAGUCGCAGGUUUGAAUCCUGCAGGGGGUGCCA
This 76-nucleotide transfer RNA is filed under the name Planctomycetota bacterium. RNAcentral's name for it is "Planctomycetes bacterium (salt lake metagenome) tRNA-Arg". It matches the Rfam family "tRNA". From Rfam's summary of the family: Transfer RNA (tRNA) molecules are approximately 80 nucleotides in length. Their secondary structure includes four short double-helical elements and three loops (D, anti-codon, and T loops). Lineage: Bacteria; Pseudomonadati; Planctomycetota. The record is from RNAcentral. RNAcentral also lists the same sequence under 1 other name.